GGGAGGCAGCAGUGGGGAAUUUUGGACAAUGGGCGCAAGCCUGAUCCAGCCAUUCCGCGUGCAGGAUGAAGGCCCUCGGGUUGUAAACUGCUUUUGGACGGAACGAAAAGGCCUUUUCUAAUACAGAGGGCUCAUGACGGUACCGUCAGAAUAAGCACCGGCUAACUACGUGCCAGCAGCCGCGGUAAUACGUAGGGUGCGAGCGUUAAUCGGAAUUACUGGGCGUAAAGCGUGCGCAGGCGGUGAUGUAAGACAGGUGUGAAAUCCCCGGGCUUAACCUGGGAACUGCAUUUGUGACUGCAUCGCUGGAGUGCGGCAGAGGGGGAUGGAAUUCCGCGUGUAGCAGUGAAAUGCGUAGAUAUGCGGAGGAACACCGAUGGCGAAGGCAAUCCCCUGGGCCUGCACUGACGCUCAUGCACGAAAGCGUGGGGAGCAAACAGGAUUAGAUACCCUGGUAGU
RNAcentral lists this ribosomal RNA (459 nucleotides) under uncultured bacterium. RNAcentral's name for it is "bacterial SSU rRNA". It matches the Rfam family "Bacterial small subunit ribosomal RNA", at positions 343 to 794 of the family's 1533-position model. The record is from RNAcentral.